GUGGGGAAUCUUGCGCAAUGGGCGAAAGCCUGACGCAGCCAUGCCGCGUGAAUGAUGAAGGUCUUAGGAUUGUAAAAUUCUUUCACCGGGGACGAUAAUGACGGUACCCGGAGAAGAAGCUCCGGCUAACUUCGUGCCAGCAGCCGCGGUAAUACGAAGGGGGCUAGCGUUGCUCGGAAUUACUGGGCGUAAAGGGCGCGUAGGCGGACAGCUUAGUCAGAGGUGAAAGCCCAGGGCUCAACCUUGGAAUUGCCUUUGAUACUGGCUGUCUUGAGUUUGGGAGAGGUGAGUGGAACUCCGAGUGUAGAGGUGAAAUUCGUAGAUAUUCGGAAGAACACCAGUGGCGAAGGCGACUCACUGGCCCAAUACUGACGCUGAGGUGCGAAAGCGUGGGGAGCAAACAGGAUUAGAAACCCCAGUAGUCC
RNAcentral lists this ribosomal RNA (425 nucleotides) under uncultured bacterium. Its description in RNAcentral is "partial 16S ribosomal RNA". It matches the Rfam family "Bacterial small subunit ribosomal RNA", at positions 354 to 796 of the family's 1533-position model. The record is from RNAcentral.